AGGCUUGAUAGUCCUAAGAAAGGUGAAGGUGGGGGGAUAUAAAUGAAAAUGGGUAAUGUUUGAUGACCAGCGUACUUGUAUAGUAUAGUAGUAGGGCUUUGCUUCUGAACGCCCUUACGAAUGGUCUAACAAGGGCAUAACGGGAAUUAAAAAGACUAAUAAAAAACUUCAACGUUUCGUUGGUAAAUCCACUCGAUAGAAAUAAUAGAUAAUCUUUUGAUAGUCUCACUUCUAUCAAUGCAAUGAAAAAAAUAUC
Molecule: long non-coding RNA, 256 nt
Filed under: Oryza brachyantha (malo sina)
Lineage: Eukaryota; Viridiplantae; Streptophyta; Magnoliopsida; Poales; Poaceae
Description: long non-coding RNA (OBRA_LNC002601)
Source: RNAcentral